CCCUUGGGGAUUGACAAGGCAUUGAACAUGAGAACAGACAGCAAUGGCCAUGGGCUUUUCUCCAGCCACAUUCAGUGGUUUGGGUGCAAGCAUAGAAUGAAUAGAGGGCUGGGGUUUUGCAAGGAGAGUACAUUAGAGAAAGAGAGAAUGGCACAGGCAAGGGAGUGACGAUGAUGAUGCACUGUUGGGUCUAAGCCUGGAAAGGGUGAAGUGAGAAUCUGAGGAUGGUGAGGGACAGUGGGAGAGAGAGUGUUCUCGCGGUGGUUAUGACUCACUAAGGAUGGUUGUGAGAUAUGAAAGGGCUGACAGCUGAAGCCAUCACCAACAGCACUGCUGGCAGCUGGGCAAGAAACCCUUCCGGAAAGGGGCAUCACAGCAUCCACCACGGUCUACCCUUUGUGCAGUUGGAUCCACUCUUCACAUACACUCUGGAAGCAGCUCCUUCUGCAGUCCAGUGGGCCUCUUUCUGGGGGGAAACCUAGAAGAUAAAGAUCUAGAGUAAGACUAGCCAGAGCCCCUGCUGCUGCAGUGGGUCUGAGAACCACAACCAAUACUCAUCAUCUCUCUUCCACCAUCCAUUCCAGCUUCCUCUCACCCUCAGCCUCGACGGCUUACCUGGUGGUGUGACCCAGACAUGCAUCCCUGAGAGGUUUGUGCCCCUGGUCACCAGGCCCUUCUCAGGCUGGGCUUGCUACACUCAUGCACUUACUGUCAAAAUGGUGCAAGGACCAAAAGGUGCUCCAGUGGAGCACCCGGGUGUCAAGCAUAGUCCGUCGCAUGGAGGCAACCCAAGUAGAUUUUCACAGAAAAAAGCAAGUGAAACCCAGGAAGCUAAUAUUAAACCAUUUCCUGACUCCACCCUCAGAUAAUAAGUCCAUUAAUUUGAUUUCCUUCCCUUUGUUCAAACGAGGCUUAUCAAAACAUUCUGAUUGUAAUUGUAUGCAUAUGCGUAAAAAGUAUAUGACUGUAUGUAUGUAUCUAUAUAAAUCAGAGGCUACAGAAAAAUAUAAGGGAUACCAUAUAAAUCACCCAGAUACCACCAUCCAGAGGGAAAUACUGUUAUCCUCUUGAUACCUUUCUUUGCAGUCUUUUUCUCUGUAUAUUUCUUUGAUUUUUCUAAAAUGAAAAACUACCCAUAUGUAUAUAUAAAUUAGUAUUCUGCCUCUUUUUUGUUAAUGUGACAGUAUAUUGUAAAUACUUCCCAACCGCCUCUAUCUUGGCACUAUAUUCAUGGAAGGGCAGAUGAAUCAGGCUGAUCGUGAUUACUUCUAGACAACAUUUGUCAAAAUAAUUUUUGUGAUAAGAACCGGUUGAUUUUGAAGAAUUUAACAAAGCGAUUUCCUUUGGAAGACAAAAAGCAGCCUACAUAAUACAGAGCAUAUAUAGUAACGACUACCGUAAUAGUAAGUAUAUUAUCUCAUUUAAUACUGGAGCCGUAUUACGAGUCCAGUGCAUAUUAUUACUGCUACUACAGAUGAGGAAAUUGAGGUUCAGAGAGAUUAAAUCACUUGUCAGGGUCACACAACUAGAACCUAGAAUCAAAGCUCAAGUCUAGAUUUCCUGCCCUUGUAUCCCACACU
Molecule: long non-coding RNA, 1580 nt
Filed under: Equus caballus (horse)
Lineage: Eukaryota; Metazoa; Chordata; Mammalia; Perissodactyla; Equidae
Description: lncRNA (ENSECAG00000049729.1)
Source: RNAcentral